UUGCCGUCUGGUUGGGAGGUUUGGUGAGGAUACACGACGUGCAAGCUCGUACUGCUGGGGGGGGGCGGGUCGCUGAUGGCUGGCUCUGCACUCUGGCCGUGUGACAUGAGAGGUAGUGUCACCUGCUCUUCUUGUUCACACUUCAGCUUCUGACACGGCUUCUGAAGAGCAACCUCCCUGAGGACCUGCGGGCCGCCAACGAGCUGAUCCAGACGCUGGUCAAGGAGGAGCAGGAGAGAUCAGAAAAGGUGUCCAGGAGGGUGAGUGCCGUGGAGGAGGUCCGCAGCCACGUGAAGGUGCUACGGGAGAUGCUGGGCGUGUACCGCAGACCAGGGCAGGCGCCCCCGGACCAGCAGGCCCUGCAGGUUUUCUCCUGCUCUUCCGCCCGUGUCCCCACCUACGAUCUGCUUUCUGGCCUGAUGAGGUUGCUGUCCUAGACUUCUGUAUAAAGGCAGCGAUGCAGCGUGUGCCCUUGUCGGGAGUGUGUGUGUGUCUGGUUUCUCCCCCUUGGCAUAAUGGAGUCCACUCUUGUACGUAUUCACAGCUUACUCCUGCUUCGUGCCUGGUGGCAUUCCGCUGUCUGUGCACCUCGUGUGCGCCCACUCACCUGUUGGUGGGCACCGGGGUCACACCCCACUUGGGCGAUUAUGAAUCGGGUGCUACAAACAGUUGUCUGCAGGGUUCCGUGUGAACGUGCAGCAGCUUUUCUCUAAAUGGUGAGGUCACAGGCCGAGUGUCCACGUAACAUAAAGCAGCUGCCUGGCAGCUGGCCCAGGUGGCUGCCAUGUUGUGUCCUGACGGCGUGUGAGGGUUUCAGUUCCCCAUACCUUACACUUCCAGAGAUCUUUUCUUUAAAAAUCACCUUUAUGGAGAAGUCACAUAAAACAUAAGCAGCCAACACCACUAUCUGGCUAGAAGGGUUUAAUCACCCCUAAAAAGAAAACGCUGUUCCCGUGAGCGGUCACUCCCCCCCUACCCCCUUCCCCCAGCUCUGGGAGCCCACUGACUGGUCUGUUUCUGUAUCUGUGGUUCGCCUGUUGGGACAUUUCAUGUUUCAUGUCAGUGGACUCAACAGCACGUGGUCUCUGAGUCUGGCUUCAGUCAGCAGCGUGGUGUUGAAGCGUGUCCAUGUCGUGGCGUGUCAUUUCUGCCUUCCUUUCUGUAGCUGAUGUCCCCCGUGUGCUGGCACGGCUUCCGUUAUCCCUUCUCAGCUGGGCCGGGCAUGUGUUCACCUGUUGGCUAUUAUGGAGAAUGCUCUGAACAUCCGUGUCCUCGUCGUGUGAAUGCUUUGAAUUCCCCUGGGUGGUACCGUGGCGUGGACUUGCUGUCACAGCUGCCAGACUGUUGACUGAGUCCUCACCCCGAUGGGCAGCCCACCAGCAGUGUGUGAGGUCCUAGGUUUUCACAUCCUGCCGACACUCGUUUGUCUUGGUAACGGCCAUCCUGGUGGGUGUGCAGCCCGCGCCUCACUGUGGCUUUGGUUUGUGCUUCUCCGAUGGCUUAACUUGAGUUUUCUUGUGUCCACAUGCAUAUCGUCUCUGGAGAAAUGUUUGUUUAAAUUCUGUGCCCAUUUUUUAUAUUGGGUUGUCUCUCUGGUUUUUUUUUUUUACCAGAGUUCUUUGUGUAUCCUGGAUACACACCCCUAAUCAGACCAUAUUUUCUCUCCCAUUCUGUGGGUUCUUUGCACUGUCUUUACAGCGUUUUGAA
Hipposideros armiger (great roundleaf bat) is the source of this 1707-nucleotide long non-coding RNA. RefSeq lists it as uncharacterized. The record is from RefSeq and is a predicted model, not a curated record. The transcript has 3 exons. NCBI's taxonomy places the organism in Eukaryota, Metazoa, Chordata, Mammalia, Chiroptera, Hipposideridae.